UUAAGCGACUAAGCGUACACGGUGGAUGCCCUGGCAGUCAGAGACGAUGAAGGACGUGCUAAUCUGCGAUAAGCGUCGGUAAGGUGAUAUGAACCGUUAUAACCGGCGAUUUCCGAAUGGGGAAACCCAGUGUGUUUCGACACACUAUCAUUAACUGAAUCCAUAGGUUAAUGAGGCGAACCGGGGGAACUGAAACAUCUAAGUACCCCGAGGAAAAGAAAUCAACCGAGAUUCCCCCAGUAGCGGCGAGCGAACGGGGAGCAGCCCAGAGCCUGAAUCAGUGUGUGUGUUAGUGGAAGCGUCUGGAAAGGCGCGCGAUACAGGGUGACAGCCCCGUACACAAAAAUGCACAUGCUGUGAGCUCGAUGAGUAGGGCGGGACACGUGGUAUCCUGUCUGAAUAUGGGGGGACCAUCCUCCAAGGCUAAAUACUCCUGACUGACCGAUAGUGAACCAGUACCGUGAGGGAAAGGCGAAAAGAACCCCGGCGAGGGGAGUGAAAAAGAACCUGAAACCGUGUACGUACAAGCAGUGGGAGCACAGAGCAAUCUGUGUGACUGCGUACCUUUUGUAUAAUGGGUCAGCGACUUAUAUUCUGUAGCAAGGUUAACCGAAUAGGGGAGCCGAAGGGAAACCGAGUCUUAACUGGGCGUUAAGUUGCAGGGUAUAGACCCGAAACCCGGUGAUCUAGCCAUGGGCAGGUUGAAGGUUGGGUAACACUAACUGGAGGACCGAACCGACUAAUGUUGAAAAAUUAGCGGAUGACUUGUGGCUGGGGGUGAAAGGCCAAUCAAACCGGGAGAUAGCUGGUUCUCCCCGAAAGCUAUUUAGGUAGCGCCUCGUGAAUUCAUCUCCGGGGGUAGAGCACUGUUUCGGCAAGGGGGUCAUCCCGACUUACCAACCCGAUGCAAACUGCGAAUACCGGAGAAUGUUAUCACGGGAGACACACGGCGGGUGCUAACGUCCGUCGUGAAGAGGGAAACAACCCAGACCGCCAGCUAAGGUCCCAAAGUCAUGGUUAAGUGGGAAACGAUGUGGGAAGGCCCAGACAGCCAGGAUGUUGGCUUAGAAGCAGCCAUCAUUUAAAGAAAGCGUAAUAGCUCACUGGUCGAGUCGGCCUGCGCGGAAGAUGUAACGGGGCUAAACCAUGCACCGAAGCUGCGGCAGCGACGCUUAUGCGUUGUUGGGUAGGGGAGCGUUCUGUAAGCCUGCGAAGGUGUGCUGUGAGGCAUGCUGGAGGUAUCAGAAGUGCGAAUGCUGACAUAAGUAACGAUAAAGCGGGUGAAAAGCCCGCUCGCCGGAAGACCAAGGGUUCCUGUCCAACGUUAAUCGGGGCAGGGUGAGUCGACCCCUAAGGCGAGGCCGAAAGGCGUAGUCGAUGGGAAACAGGUUAAUAUUCCUGUACUUGGUGUUACUGCGAAGGGGGGACGGAGAAGGCUAUGUUGGCCGGGCGACGGUUGUCCCGGUUUAAGCGUGUAGGCUGGUUUUCCAGGCAAAUCCGGAAAAUCAAGGCUGAGGCGUGAUGACGAGGCACUACGGUGCUGAAGCAACAAAUGCCCUGCUUCCAGGAAAAGCCUCUAAGCAUCAGGUAACAUCAAAUCGUACCCCAAACCGACACAGGUGGUCAGGUAGAGAAUACCAAGGCGCUUGAGAGAACUCGGGUGAAGGAACUAGGCAAAAUGGUGCCGUAACUUCGGGAGAAGGCACGCUGAUAUGUAGGUGAAGUCCCUCGCGGAUGGAGCUGAAAUCAGUCGAAGAUACCAGCUGGCUGCAACUGUUUAUUAAAAACACAGCACUGUGCAAACACGAAAGUGGACGUAUACGGUGUGACGCCUGCCCGGUGCCGGAAGGUUAAUUGAUGGGGUCAGCGCAAGCGAAGCUCUUGAUCGAAGCCCCGGUAAACGGCGGCCGUAACUAUAACGGUCCUAAGGUAGCGAAAUUCCUUGUCGGGUAAGUUCCGACCUGCACGAAUGGCGUAAUGAUGGCCAGGCUGUCUCCACCCGAGACUCAGUGAAAUUGAACUCGCUGUGAAGAUGCAGUGUACCCGCGGCAAGACGGAAAGACCCCGUGAACCUUUACUAUAGCUUGACACUGAACAUUGAGCCUUGAUGUGUAGGAUAGGUGGGAGGCUUUGAAGUGUGGACGCCAGUCUGCAUGGAGCCGACCUUGAAAUACCACCCUUUAAUGUUUGAUGUUCUAACGUGGACCCGUAAUCCGGGUUGCGGACAGUGUCUGGUGGGUAGUUUGACUGGGGCGGUCUCCUCCUAAAGAGUAACGGAGGAGCACGAAGGUUGGCUAAUCCUGGUCGGACAUCAGGAGGUUAGUGCAAUGGCAUAAGCCAGCUUGACUGCGAGCGUGACGGCGCGAGCAGGUGCGAAAGCAGGUCAUAGUGAUCCGGUGGUUCUGAAUGGAAGGGCCAUCGCUCAACGGAUAAAAGGUACUCCGGGGAUAACAGGCUGAUACCGCCCAAGAGUUCAUAUCGACGGCGGUGUUUGGCACCUCGAUGUCGGCUCAUCACAUCCUGGGGCUGAAGUAGGUCCCAAGGGUAUGGCUGUUCGCCAUUUAAAGUGGUACGCGAGCUGGGUUUAGAACGUCGUGAGACAGUUCGGUCCCUAUCUGCCGUGGGCGCUGGAGAAUUGAGGGGGGCUGCUCCUAGUACGAGAGGACCGGAGUGGACGCAUCACUGGUGUUCGGGUUGUCAUGCCAAUGGCACUGCCCGGUAGCUAAAUGCGGAAGAGAUAAGUGCUGAAAGCAUCUAAGCACGAAACUUGCCCCGAGAUGAGUUCUCCCUGACUCCUUGAGAGUCCUGAAGGAACGUUGAAGACGACGACGUUGAUAGGCCGGGUGUGUAAGCGCAGCGAUGCGUUGAGCUAACCGGUACUAAUGAACCGUGAGGCUUAACCUU
RNAcentral lists this ribosomal RNA (2904 nucleotides) under Escherichia coli O27:H7. RNAcentral's name for it is "bacterial LSU rRNA". It matches the Rfam family "Bacterial large subunit ribosomal RNA". The record is from RNAcentral. Lineage: Bacteria; Pseudomonadati; Pseudomonadota; Gammaproteobacteria; Enterobacterales; Enterobacteriaceae.